This 274-nucleotide ribosomal RNA is filed under the name uncultured bacterium. RNAcentral's name for it is "partial 16S ribosomal RNA". It matches the Rfam family "Bacterial small subunit ribosomal RNA", at positions 523 to 796 of the family's 1533-position model. The record is from RNAcentral.
AUACGGAGGGUGCAAGCGUUAUUCGGAAUCACUGGGCGUAAAGCGCGCGCAGGCGGCUAUUUAAGUUGGAUGUGAAAGCCUACGGCUCAACCGUAGAACUGCAUCCAAAACUAUUUAGCUAGAGUGUGGGAGAGGAAGAUGGAAUUAGUUGUGUAGGGGUAAAAUCCGUAGAGAUAACUAGGAAUACCAAAAGCGAAGGCAAUCUUCUGGAACACUACUGACGCUGAGGCGCGAAAGCGUGGGGAGCAAACAGGAUUAGAUACCCUAGUAGUCC